UACAGAGGGGGCAAGCGUUGUUCGGAAUUACUGGGCGUAAAGGGCGCGUAGGCGGCCUUCUAAGUCGAACGUGAAAUCCCCGGGCUCAACCUGGGAACUGCAUUUGUGACUGCAUGGCUGGAGUGCGGCAGAGGGGGAUGGAAUUCCGCGUGUAGCAGUGAAAUGCGUAGAUAUGCGGAGGAACACCGAUGGCGAAGGCAAUCCCCUGGGCCUGCACUGACGCUCAUGCACGAAAGCGUGGGGAGCAAACAGG
Molecule: ribosomal RNA, 253 nt
Filed under: uncultured bacterium
Lineage: Bacteria
Description: partial 16S ribosomal RNA
Rfam family: Bacterial small subunit ribosomal RNA
Source: RNAcentral